This 23-nucleotide non-coding RNA is filed under the name Arabidopsis thaliana (thale cress). Lineage: Eukaryota; Viridiplantae; Streptophyta; Magnoliopsida; Brassicales; Brassicaceae. The record is from RNAcentral.
UGUCUCUUUUCUAAUUUUUGGGC